This 550-nucleotide ribosomal RNA is filed under the name Fusarium sp. RNAcentral's name for it is "eukaryotic LSU rRNA". The stretch from base 180 to 333 matches the Rfam family "5.8S ribosomal RNA". The record is from RNAcentral. Lineage: Eukaryota; Fungi; Ascomycota; Sordariomycetes; Hypocreales; Nectriaceae.
UUCCGUAGGGUGACCUGCGGAGGGAUCAUUACCGAGUUUACAACUCCCAAACCCCUGUGAACAUACCAAUUGUUGCCUCGGCGGAUCAGCCCGCUCCCGGUAAAACGGGACGGCCCGCCAGAGGACCCCUAAACUCUGUUUCUAUAUGUAACUUCUGAGUAAAACCAUAAAUAAAUCAAAACUUUCAACAACGGAUCUCUUGGUUCUGGCAUCGAUGAAGAACGCAGCAAAAUGCGAUAAGUAAUGUGAAUUGCAGAAUUCAGUGAAUCAUCGAAUCUUUGAACGCACAUUGCGCCCGCCAGUAUUCUGGCGGGCAUGCCUGUUCGAGCGUCAUUUCAACCCUCAAGCCCCCGGGUUUGGUGUUGGGGAUCGGCGAGCCCUUGCGGCAAGCCGGCCCCGAAAUCUAGUGGCGGUCUCGCUGCAGCUUCCAUUGCGUAGUAGUAAAACCCUCGCAACUGGUACGCGGCGCGGCCAAGCCGUUAAACCCCCAACUUCUGAAUGUUGACCUCGGAUCAGGUAGGAAUACCCGCUGAACUUAAGCAUAUCAAAA